Molecule: RNA transcript, 6911 nt
Organism: Hirundo rustica (Barn swallow)
Lineage: Eukaryota; Metazoa; Chordata; Aves; Passeriformes; Hirundinidae
Exons: 2
Source: RefSeq, a predicted model, not a curated record
CCCUCCCAGCCAUGGGUGUGAUAAAGAGUGAGGGAGCUGGGAGGGAGUUUAGCUGGGGUCUGCUGGCUGUGCUGAGAGGAGGAAGGGACAGGAGAUUGUGAGAGGGAUAGAAAAGGUAAGAUGUUGUACAAGGGACAGAUAGGGUGAGGUGGCUGUGCUGGGGACAGGAAGGAGCCAGCUGGAACUGCAGAAGAAAGGGAGAAGGAGGGAAAGAGCCAGAGCUGUGUGGAGCUGCCCAUGGGAGGCUACAGAGAAAAGAGUAACACUGCAUUUCUGCAACUGCUCAUCUCUCUUCAUGGAAGAAGCCAAAGAUCUGAUAAGGGAAGAAAGAGUGAGCAGCAUGUGACUUUAAAUGUCUUAAAAUGAGGAAGAGUGUCUAGAAUUACUCAGAAGCAUGAGGUUGAGUCAGCAGAUAAACAAGGAAGAGAUUGCCCAGCAGAGACUACCACAACAGAGUUAGCCCUUGAGCAAUCCACCUUCUUCCUCUCUGGGAAUACAAUCUAAAGUUUGAAUCUCGUUUAAAAGAGUCAAACUGGUGAUUUUCUUCUGCUAACUCCUCUUUUUCAUGGGAGCAUCAACCUGAACGUUUAUCCCAUCUUUUAUUUUUUGACUUCCACGGGCCUCUCUGGCUUUUCCAACAGCUCAACAGCCCCAUCUAGCAGCACAAGGAACACCCAAACUAUCUCUGGGGGAGCACAGCAAACCUGGUCAGUGCUCAGCGAGCAGAAUGGGGACACGCUGCCCCCGGUGAGAGGGAAAUGCAGGAAACACAAACGAGCCCGAAGGUGGCCUGCUCUGAGCAAGGACUGGUCACCUACCAGAGCAAGGAGCAGAACUUUUCGUGUACUAUGGGCCACUGAAGGACACAAACAAUCCCAGUUAGCCGUGUUUUAAGCCUCUUUGCUUAUGCUGUGCUGGGUUUUUCACAUAAACCUUGCUUCAGGGAAACGGAAUUUCGAAGCUCUACCAAUUGUGUGAGAGUUGCUGCUGUUUAAAGAAACGAGCUACUAUGCAAGUGACAGAUAAAACACUACACAACGUACUUCCCUAAAACAGCAGGUAAUGGAAACUGUGAAAACAAGGAGAUUAGCAAAGCUGGGCUAAAUCCUCAGGGCCUUUUGAGAGCAGCUUGGAAAGCCAUUUUUGUACGUUGAAGCAAACGUCACUCAGUCAAAAAUCAUAUUUUCUUUAUAGAAUGGUUUCAUUUCCUAACAUAUGGUAGAAGCAGAGACUGUGUGUACUUCAGAGAUACUCACUGCAAUAAGGUCAUCCCUUGCCUUGAGGACCUUCAGCCGUGCUUGAUUCAUCAGGUUGGACAUCUGACUGCAAGUUGCAUGAUAAAGCUGAAUCAAUCCAUCAGCCUUUGACAGAAGAGCUGUAACAUUUAACUGCAUGCUUUGCAUUUCAAGGUAACAGUUCUACAAGACUUGAAAACAAGGUCUGUUCACCUGCUGGGAUCUGUUCCAGGACUUGCACAAAAGAUUAAACUGCACAACCCCCUUCUUGGUGAAGAUCCGGCCAAGCUAAACAUGACAUGAUCAUUUUUCCCAGGGUAGAGUUUUAGACAUUAACUACAUAAAGAAAUGUGAAAGAUUCUUUCAUCUAAGUUGUACCACUGUAGCUCAGCUUUGAUAAUUUCUCCCCAGAAACUCACAAUUCGAAUUAAAUGUUGUCUACAAUUUGCCUGUUUGCAGGGAAGGGAAGGAGACUUGUAUAAAAUUAACAACAAAAUGCAAGCUCAGGCUCUGAAGUCAGCUGUCUACCCCAAGCAACGUACAUUUUCUUUUGCUGUUCAAUUUGCUUCUCCUUCUUUUCAUAAUACUCCAUGAUUUUCAGCCUCUGUGUCUGAACAAGGCGACCCUUCUCAAUGUUGAAUUCUUCUUCUGCCUACAGUAAAAAUUAAAUAACUGAAGUGGAAAUUGAUUCCUUGGGCUGAAAGAAAUAGAACCAAAAUGUAACAGAGCACAUUCACAGACAGGAUAGACUGAUACAAUUUAUGGUUCCAUAUAAAACCCCUUCACCUCUGUAAGUAAUUCUUACACAAGGAGGGUGACAGCACAGCUGUUACUUUUUUUUUGUAAUGCUUCACUAGACAGAAUGUAAGAACACAUGGAUAAUUCUCCUACUUAUACCUGAGAAUCCAGUCUCAGGUUCUGAAUUCUGUUUGCAGAUUUUUGGGAAUACCUGCUUUACUACUGAUUAAAUAUUUGUGUAAAUCUAAAUGUUUAAGGGAGAUUGAAUAUUAUCAGCUGAGUCCAGUACCAAUGAGGCAUUCCACCAGUGGUAUAAUGCAGACUGUUGGGGCUGAAAGGCACCACUAAUCCUUCUUCAGCAAACAUCUACACUCUAUCACCAGGUUAAUAUUAAACCCAGUCUCUUGUGGCUUAACCUAAGUGAAGCAUUCUGCAAGUAAUUCAACUCAUGCCUUAAAUACUAGUACAGGGGAGGAAGGGGCUCUACUUAAUCUACUCAGCUUUCCUGAUUGCUUAAAAAAAAGAGGUGAACUUUGAUAUGAAUAUAUUUAUAUUCAAGAACCACGAAAAUCUUAACCAAAACCAGCUCUGAGUCAUUUUCAUUAGUCAAAAGCUAAGAAAUGCUAACUUUAUUUGGUACAUUUUUUGCUAUGUAAUAACUAAACAGAAAUCAGCUGUAGCUUACAAAGGUGUUUUAGUUCUCUCUGACUGCAACUUUCAAAGCAGGAUGUGGGAUGCAGUCUUCCUUUUGCACUUACUGACAGUGAACUUCCAUUUUUACCUUUGCAUCUAUUUCUUCAGCCUUUUCAUUGGCUUCCUGCUCUAUGAAAGCCAUCAUGUGCUUGAUCUGUAACAAGAGAGAGGGGGAAAAAUGUAUUUUCUGUAUGGACAUUGACCAGAGGAAGUAGAUGUAUAUAUGUUCUCAUUUGUAGAUACUCCUUUUCCAUUUAGUAAUUCAUAUAAUAUUGUUUUGCAAGGAAAUUUAAUUGAGCAUACAUGCUAAAGAGUCAGUUCAUCUUGACAUAUAUUACAAGUAAACUAUUUUCCCCAAUAAUUCUAUAUAAUGCUGUUUCACUAGCAUUAGAAGAACGCACAUCAGGUAUGCAACUACAAAAUAAACCCAAACCAAACCAACUAACCCAAAAGUAAAUUUGUGUAAGUGUGAGGCUGGGUAUUUUUGUUCUUCAUUCUUUUUCACCCCUGAGAUUAUUUAAAAAAAAAUACAAACAAACCCAGACUUCAAAAAUCCUCACACAGCAAAAUGAGUCUGUUUGUUAUGACAUUUACAUGAAACAUAAAGAUUAACGUAGAUGGCAUCUGAAUGAACCUUGGCCUUCCACAGGUGAACAGUGGAGCAAAGCAAAGUGCUGCUGACCGCUGUGGUCAGAUUUGUACAGCCAGGAGUUCCUCUGAACACCUGUUCAGUUCUGAAAAGCUGUAGUAAAUUCUGUAAAGAUUUAUAAAGGUGAGUUUGGAGGGGCUGGGGAAGGAGACAGCAGCAGCAGCAACGCUCCGUCACCCAGACCACAUCAAGAACGUCACGUGCUGCUUCAGAGGCCCACAUGAAUCAGUAAGUUCAACUUGAAAAACGUUUCUGAAGCCACCUCAAAGCUCUGCAAAGCCCAGGUCCAGCAGCUUAAAGAUCAGGAAAGCAAUCCAGACCAAGUUCUGUUCAUCUGUCACUACUGACUUUUUCUUUGUGCUUAGUGAUGAGACACAUUUGGCAGAAAAUCCAGUCUGCAUAAACUCACACAAAAGGCUCUAUUUAGAGAAUCUCGUGUUAAAAUUAAAUGUUUUAGAGAUUAGAAAGGUGCCAAGGUGAAAACUGAGCCAAUGUGCAGAACAGCACUAUGCCCAUAGAGAUGAAAAACAGAAGUGAAGGGACAAAGUGGAAGAUUUUAAACACAUGUUAACACAGUGGAAGAAGUGAAUAGUACCAUCUACAUCCUCAAAAUCAAUUCAGCAGGUUUUCUUUUAAUUUGUGUCUGCAAAGACUCUCAAGUGCUUGUCUACCUACAGCAUCAGGUUCCUAGCCUGCAUUUCAGAAAGGACAAAAGGGGCAUUUAAAAUAAGGAUGUUAUUUUGCUGAGUAGCCUAUUGUUGAAGAAGACUGAGAACCGAGCAGCAGCAGCCUUUAUGUUACUGGGCCACUUCCUCCAGCGUAGUCUGGUUUCUGAAUUUUGGAAAAGCACUUUUAACAGUUCUGAGCAUCCAGGAAACAUCCUCUGGAUAAAGGAAAGGAAUGAGAUGGAAGCAAGCUGAUAUGGAAUCCACUUCUCCUAGACUGGUAAGACUGAACACUGUUACUUCCUUCAAAAGCUGCUGAAAUCCCCUUUUGCUUUUUAUAGAAAUUAAGAGAGAUCCAAAGUGAGAUUUCACAUCUAUAAACAGGAUUAGUUUUAAUAACAGUGACAAAAAUGUAUUUAGAAAUGAGAGACUUGUUUUAAAGCAAGGGAAGUUCUAGAUGUUAGAUGGGCUUCAGAAGUGACCAGAGGGAACAAUGAGUUAAACACCUUUGACAGAAUGAAAAAGCAAAUCUGUCAGUGGGAAAAAGUCUCAAUCAGAGAUGAUUUUCAAGGUGACAAUCACUGGAAGUGUGGUGGCAGGGAGUUAAGUGGACCAGCUGGCAAGUUGAUGGCAGAUUCAUCCACAGGCAGGAUUGUCAACCAUCAGCACUCUCCUUUCCAGUGAGCAGGAUCACCCUGGGCCCAGGAGCGUAAAGCACUGACAGGAAUGCUGCAGAUGUGAAAUGCUGUUAGUAUUAAGUGUUUAAUACAUCACCAGAGCCUGAACUAACCUCUGAGGUUCAGAUCCAUUCUGGCUGAGCAAGACCACCCUAAUGUCAGCUUUAUUUUUAUUAUCUUCCUGGAGGAGGCAGGAAAAAAAGCACCGAGCUUUGCAGAUUAAAAAGAAUGCAACGUAAUGUUACAAUUCUCCUUCUGGAGAAAGGCAACCUACCAAUUUAACUUUCAUUGUGAUGCUUCCUUGCCAAGAGACUAUGUUUACUGAAUGAGAAAGUGAGACACAAGUACUUGUGAUGCAGAGGACAAAGGGAACUUGUCUGAUCCACUCAUCGCCUGCAAGAAACCACCCAGACCAGCGCUGACUGGAUCCCCACAGCCUUUAACACCACACACCAUCUCCAACCCAGCUGAAAGCAGCUUUUUUAGCUGAGGGCAGUGUUUACUGUCAACAGGGACAGCGUGUCCUGCCUCUGGAGGAGUGUCCACAGCCAGACCUCAGGGCUGGAAGUUUCCACUGCAAGCCAAGCCCAGGCUGCCCCACUCUGCUUAGGAUGUAGACCUGAAAAGGGCAUUUAGGAACGCUGAGCAGCCCAUCCAAGUGCUAAGGGACAGCUUAACUGCAGGUAACACAGCUACGGGCAAAAAAGACGGGAAAUCCUUAAGGAAUCAGAGAAUCAUUAAGGUUGGAAGAGACCUUCGGGAUCACCCAGUCCAAUGCAGAACUACCACUGUAACCUUUAAACACUAAACCCCUUCAGAUCCAGACACCUCCUAAAUGCCUCCACGGAUGGUGACUCCAUCAUCUCCCUGGGCAACGUGACCACCCUAAGAGUGAAUUUUUUAUUCUGAUAUCUGCUGUGAAUCUCCCCUGUCUCAGCUUAAGGCCACUUUCUCUGCUUCUCCCACUGCAGGCACGGCAGAAGAGACCGGCCCUCACCUCUAAACAUCUGCCACAGCAGCAUGUAGAAAAACAGCACUCGUCCUAGGCUGUGCAUUCACCUGCCUUGGGAUGCAAUUAAACCCUGCGGACAGCACACAGCCUGCCCACGAACCCUCUCCUUAUAAUCUGCCGCAACACGUCACCAAAAUGCUCCAAGGAAGUUCCCCCUGGGGCCCAUCCACCCCGGCAGGGGAAAAAAUCGCUUUGCCGGGAGACUCCUCUUUCCAAGGCAGCAUCCUUGCCCUCCGCCGAUGUUCCUUUCGCAGGGGAGCGGCGCGGCAGAGCAGCAGCCCCGGGCCGCAGCGCUUCACCGCGGGCCCCGGCGCGGUCAGUCCGGUUCGCCACGGCCCUUCGCGGGCUCCGCUCGGGCCCUACCUGCUUCUGCACGUCGGCAUCGCUGAGCGCCAUGGCGGCGGCGGUGACAGUGACGGUGACAGCGACGGCGACAGCGGUGGUGACAGCGGCAGCCGCAGGCCCCAGGAGACGCGCCCGGUGCCGUCGGUGGCCGCGAGCGGAAUCAGAUCCGGUUCGUGUCACCGCCGGGGCGGGGCCGGCACACGCCCCACCCACCGCGCGGCCGGACCUAUGGGAAAGCUGCGAGUGUGUGACGUCACGCCGCCAUAUAUGGCGAGGCGAGCGUGCGUCACUGUCACACGUUCACGGGAACUGCGGCUGGCGCGAAGGGACCUCGCGUGUAAGGCCCUCAGGUGGCUUUGUGUUGGCAGUGCCCUGCGCUGCCCGUGGCGGGACAAGCCGAGGGACGCAGGGAGCAGCCGGACAAGGGGAGCGGAAGGGCGGCCUUGAAGGAGUUCUGCUGCUUCCGCCGUUCUUUAUGGCAAAAUUUAGGCAGAAUUCAUGGUCUGUAAUACUAAUUGCUUGUUCUAAUCGGCAAGAGGCUUCUGUUUUCAUUUUGUAGGAACAUUUAGUGGAAAAAAGAGGACCAUUCCAAAUCAGCGUCAAAUGCGGUAUUUGUUGCAUCCAUGCCAUUUCCUUAAUUUUUUUUUUUCCCUUGUGAAAAACCGUAUUAUAAAACUAUGCGUGUAACUCUGAUGUCUUUUCAUAUUGCCGUCAUAAUGCUGGGAAUCAGCUUGUACUUUGGGUCUGGAGAACGCUUUACUAUUACCUCAGGCACCAUCUAAAUACUAAUUUAAACCAAAUUUUAAUAAAGAAGAAAUAAUAUAUAAUAUUAAAUGGUAAGGAUGUUUAUUAUUAUAAAAUAAGCAUUACUAAAUAAAACAGCAAGUACGGCUGGAA